UACGUAGGGGGCAAGCGUUGUCCGGAAUCAUUGGGCGUAAAGAGCGUGUAGGCGGCUGACCAAGUCCUGCGUGAAAUCUUGCGGCUCAACCGCAAGCGGUCGUGGGAAACUGGUCGGCUAGAGUGCGGGAGAGGAGAGUGGAAUUCCUGGUGUAGCGGUGAAAUGCGCAGAUAUCAGGAAGAACACCCGUGGCGAAGGCGGCUCUCUGGAACGCAACUGACGCUGAGACGCGAAAGCGUGGGGAGCAAACAGG
RNAcentral lists this ribosomal RNA (253 nucleotides) under uncultured bacterium. RNAcentral describes it as "partial 16S ribosomal RNA". It matches the Rfam family "Bacterial small subunit ribosomal RNA", at positions 524 to 776 of the family's 1533-position model. The record is from RNAcentral.